Molecule: ribosomal RNA, 497 nt
Filed under: uncultured bacterium
Lineage: Bacteria
Description: partial 16S ribosomal RNA
Rfam family: Bacterial small subunit ribosomal RNA
Source: RNAcentral
GAUGAACGCUGGGGGCGUGCCUAAUACAUGCAAGUCGAGCGAACAGACGAGGAGCUUGCUCCUCUGACGUUAGCGGCGGACGGGUGAGUAACACGUGGAUAACCUACCUAUAAGACUGGGAUAACUUCGGGAAACCGGAGCUAAUACCGGAUAAUAUAUUGAACCGCAUGGUUCAAUAGUGAAAGACGGUUUUGCUGUCACUUAUAGAUGGAUCCGCGCCGCAUUAGCUAGUUGGUAAGGUAACGGCUUACCAAGGCAACGAUGCGUAGCCGACCUGAGAGGGUGAUCGGCCACACUGGAACUGAGACACGGUCCAGACUCCUACGGGAGGCAGCAGUAGGGAAUCUUCCGCAAUGGGCGAAAGCCUGACGGAGCAACGCCGCGUGAGUGAUGAAGGUCUUCGGAUCGUAAAACUCUGUUAUUAGGGAAGAACAAAUGUGUAAGUAACUAUGCACGUCUUGACGGUACCUAAUCAGAAAGCCACGGCUAACUACGUG